AUGCCAUCGAAAGUCUAAGGUUUCCUGGGGAAGGUUCGUCCGCCCAGGGUAAGUCGGGACCUAAGGAGAGGCCGAAAGGCGUAUCUGAUGGACAGCAGGUAGAAAUUCCUGCACCACCGAUAUACUUAAAAAAUGCAAGGGACACAGUAGUGGAAGGAAAGCGAGGAAGAGGAAAGACUCGUAUCGAAAGAUAUAGUGAAAAAAUAAGUAACGAAUUUCCAAGAAGCACACUGGCGAGAAAAGCUUGUAGGAAUUGUAUAAAGGUGCCCGUACCGCAAACCGACACAGGUAGAUGAGGAGAGGAUCCUAAGAUGAGCGAGAGAAGCAUUGUUAAGGAACUCGGCAAAUUGACCCCGUAACUUAGGGAGAAGGGGUGCCAAAGUAAAAUUUGGUCGCAGAGAAGAGGCCCAAGCAACUGUUUAACAAAAACACAGGUUUCUGCUAAAUCGAAAGAUGAAGUAUAGGAGCUGACGCCUGCCCAGUGCUGGAAGGUUAAGGGGAAGAGUUAGAUGUAAGUCGAAGCUUAGAACCAAAGCCCCAGUGAACGGCGGCCGUAACUAUAACGGUCCUAAGGUAGCGAAAUUCCUUGUCAGGUAAGUUCUGACCCGCACGAAAGGCGUAAUGAUUUGGGCGCUGUCUCGACAAUGUACUCGGCGAAAUUGUAGUACUAGUGAAGAUGCUAGUUACCUGCGACAAGACAGAAAGACCCCAUGGAGCUUUACUGCAACUUGAUACUGGGUCUAGGUAAUUUAUGUACAGGAUAGGUGGGAGACUAUGAAACUUUGGCGCUAGCUGAAGUGGAGUCAUCCUUGGGAUACCACCCUUAAGUUACUUGGAUUCUAACCUGCCGUCAUAAACUGGCGGGGGGACAAUGUCAGGUGGGCAGUUUGACUGGGGCGGUCGCCUCCUAAAGAGUAACGGAGGCGCGCAAAGGUUUCCUCAGCGCGGACAGAAAUCGCGCGAAAGAGUGCAAAGGCAGAAGGAAGCUUAACUGAGAGACUGACAAGUCGACCAGAUACGAAAGUAGGUCUUAGUGAUCCGGCGGUAGUGAGUGGAAAUGCCGUCGCUCAACGGACAAAAGUUACCCUGGGGAUAACAGGCUUAUCUCCCCCAAGAGUUCACAUCGACGGGGAGGUUUGGCACCUCGAUGUCGGCUCAUCACAUCCUGGAGCGGAAGUACGUUCCAAGGGUUGGGCUGUUCGCCCAUUAAAGUGGUACGCGAGCUGGGUUCAGAACGUCGUGAGACAGUUCGGUCCUUAUCUGUCGCAGGCGAAGGAUAUUUGAGGGGAGUUGACCUUAGUACGAGAGGACCAGGUUGAACUUACCAAUGGUGUAUCAGUUGUCGUACCAACGGCACGGCUGAGUAGCUAAGUAGGGAAGGGAUAAACGCUGAAAGCAUCUAAGUGUGAAGCCCACCCCAAGAUAAGAUAUCCCAUACCGUAAGGUAGUAAGAUUCCACGUAGACUAUGUGGUAGAUAGGUUGGAGGUGUAAGUGCAGUAAUGCAUUAAGCUGACCAAUACUAAUAAAUCGAGGGCUUAACCAC
RNAcentral lists this ribosomal RNA (1544 nucleotides) under human gut metagenome. RNAcentral's name for it is "bacterial LSU rRNA". It matches the Rfam family "Bacterial large subunit ribosomal RNA", at positions 1331 to 2925 of the family's 2925-position model. The record is from RNAcentral.